UUAAAAUACUCCUCUGUAUUUCCUUUGUUAAAUUAAAUAUUGUUAUAAGUUUAGUAAGGGUAUAAAAAAAUAUGAUUACAUAAAACAGAAGCAUUACCUAGGUAAGGGAUUUAUUUUGAAAUGUGUGUCUAUAAAGUGCAAUUAUGGGUUGUUUUUAAAAUAAGUCUGAAUGCAGAUGAACUGACAGUGGAUUCUGAAUAUUUUUGCACACUGAGAAAACUUUACAUUAAAGGGGAGUCUGCUUCAUGAGAAAAAUUCUGAUUUCAUAAUUGAUCACAGAUUGUUUCCUUUCAUUUCAUCUGUUGUUUUCCACUUUUAUAUAAAAUAUAUUCCUUUCUUUUGUUAUUUUUGUUUGUCAAUAUCUUUUUUUUUUCCUUCCUUCCUAUAUUUCAGUAUAACUUAAUAUACUUUUGUUGGACAGAAAAUUCUAGUGCAAAAUGAAAGGUAGCCCGAUCACUAAGUUUAGUAAAAGAGAAGGGUGAGCUGCUGGUAACAGUCCACCUCCCACUAAUUCAGUUUAAAAUUCCUGUUGACUUCAUGGAAGCAAUAAGUGGUUAUAAAAUUCCCCAAAUUAAUAGCAAAGAUUUUAUAUGAACUUCAUGGUAAAAUCAGACAAUUCUAAACUUAUGAGAUAAGCAAAAUGUUCUUUAUUAUAACUGCAAUACUAACUUGACCAAACAGUUAGAUUAUCAGUAUUUUGCAUUAUUGAAAAUGUAGCUGACCCUGUAACUUUGAAAUAUAUGUCAUUAAAUACCCUCUCAAGGAAAGUCUAUGCUUUACAGUCCCAUUUUAGUAGGAGGAUUUAUUAAUGAUACAUAGUACAAAAGAGUAUUGACAUUACAGUGUCUUCUCAAGGCUGUAUGUCUCUGAAAUGAUGGCAGAUGUUCCUUAAAGCUUGAAAUUUUCAUACAUACUGUGUAUAUUAUGAAGAGACUUACUUUUGCAUGGGCCUGAUCUGCAAGUGUUCUAAUUAAAACUAUUAGUUCUGAGUACAAAGUGCUUACUGCUCAAAGCUGUUUAAUCUUCAAGUGAGGUGUGCAAUAGAAACUUUGAAGAUCAAACCUUUUACCUUGUUGUCUCUUUUUCCUGUGUGUAAAACAGGUCUCAUGUCUGGCUAGGUCAGGAAUAGACCUAACCAGGUCAGGAAUAGAUUUUUUGAAAAUGCACAACAUCAACUAAAGAAUUACAGUCAUAUUUCUACAUCAUAGCUAUAGUAGUUCUACCAUAGCAGAACUACUCUAUAGUUUUUGAUAAUUCACAAGUAACAAUGGCAUUAUCAUUAAAUACUGGGUAGCGCCUUACCAACAAAGAUGACAGGCAGCAAGACAGCUUACAAUCUCAGCAAACUGUAGGAUACUCUCCAAUAAACUGUUACCUACUCAUGUGAAUAAUUCUCUUACAUCUACUCUGUUUUCUGAAACUUUGAUCAUUCUUCUGUUUUGAAAUACAUAUGAAUUUUAUUUUUCUCUAUAUAUGAAUAAGGGUUUCAAUCAGCAGUUUCCUAAAGAUUGCUUGAUCUUGUUUUGUUUUAUUUUUCUUUCUUGCAGUCCAUUCUGUAGUCAUAGAUCUAUAUUUACCACAAGUAUGCUUUGCCAGUUUUGUAUCCACAAAUCUAACCUUCUGUGUUGGAAGAACUUCAUAGUCUGUCAUUUCUGCAAAUAAGAGUCUAAUAGCUGGUCUGUUUAAAUUAUUUCUAGGAGAAAAUUGGGCUUUCUCCAAAACCUGCUGUUGGCAAGGUUGAUCCUUUAAUGCUAAAUGUGGUUAUUUGGUGAAUUUUCAGGGGUCAGGAGCGUAUCUGUUACAUUUGUCCUUACACAGAGAGUCAGUGAGGACAACUGAAUCCCUUACAUCACAUUAUCACAUUUGUGUGGUCUGAAAGGCUCAUUGAGUAUUAAGCUAUUUCUAUGGAUUUUUUGAACCAGAUUCCAAAUAAUACUGGCUGAAAAUGAAAAUUACCCUUUACCCUUCCUUUUUCUUCUUUUAUUUUAAUAAUCAAAGAAUUCAAGAGUAGGAAAGGUUACCACAUCCUUUCCUCAGCAAGAGUGGACUCCCUUUUUUCUGGAUUGCUCUUUAUUUCUUAAUGGAAAUUCGGGGGGGGGGAGGGGAUCAUCUUCAUUGUUCAUCUUUAGUUUACGUGUAGAAAUAAAAAAGCCUAGUCUUA
Long non-coding RNA from Pezoporus flaviventris, 2161 nucleotides. RefSeq lists it as uncharacterized. The record is from RefSeq and is a predicted model, not a curated record. NCBI's taxonomy places the organism in Eukaryota, Metazoa, Chordata, Aves, Psittaciformes, Psittacidae. The transcript has 2 exons.